CAAGACCUCGCGCGAUUGGAGCGGCCGAUAUCAGAUUAGCUAGUUGGCGGGGUAAAAGCCCACCAAGGCGACGAU
This 75-nucleotide ribosomal RNA is filed under the name uncultured bacterium. Its description in RNAcentral is "partial 16S ribosomal RNA". The record is from RNAcentral.